RNAcentral lists this unclassified non-coding RNA (6021 nucleotides) under Chelonus insularis. RNAcentral's name for it is "uncharacterized LOC118072118, transcript variant X2". Lineage: Eukaryota; Metazoa; Arthropoda; Insecta; Hymenoptera; Braconidae. The record is from RNAcentral.
AUGACAGUCCAAUCGAAGGGGAUCCUAGUGAUCCUGAGUUUAUUGAGUGUGAUUAUUGAAGUCCAAUCUAGUAUUACUGAUACAUCAGAUUUAGAUUUAUCUGAAGACACAGAAAUAGUCACCACAACCACUAGGCGUAUUUUACCUGAUCGUUGUUUAGUUAAAACAGAUUCAGGCCCAUGUAAACAUUAUAUUCACAAGUGGACCUUCAACAAAGCUGAAGGAAAAUGUAGGACCUUCGUUUACGGUGGUUGUUUGGGAAAUGAAAACAGAUUUAAUUCACAGCUCGAAUGUCUCCACUAUUGCAUUGGUGGACCCAACUAUACAUUAAAUGCAUACAUGGUCACUAAAGGAAGUGUUUUUGUCACCACAACUACUACUACAACGAGUACAACACCAACAACAACACUACGUACUCUUCCACCCACUUUAUUCCCUCCAGAACCAACCAGGCCUCCUGUACCCAAGUAUCAACGAGGAAAAGAAUUGACAUUUAUGGAGUCUGGAUAUGAAAAAACAUUUAUGUUUGCGGAAAGUAACACUUUUAUCCAACUUGAUGGAAGUGGAAUUAAAACCUUCCAAUUGCGAUUGUGUCGAGAAAUAUCGUUCCUAUUUCGUACCAAGUUACCUCAUGGUCUGCUCGUUUAUCACAGUGUAAAAGACCGCCCGGAGAGUUUAGACCCUUAUGCUCUUUACGUAAUCGUUGAGAAAGGUCAACUCAAGGUUGUUCAUGUCUUUGGGAAGUUCUCUACAAGUUUAACAGUUGGAGAAGGGCUUAAUAGAGAUGAGUGGCACAGCGUGUUGGUUCGUAUUGAUGUUCAUGGAGCCAAACUUAUUGCUCGAGUUAAUGAUAAACAGGAAGAAACAACUCUCGAGGUGUUGGAACGAGUUGUUAAUUAUGGAGUGUCAGAAGACUUGGCUUCAGUUGUGCUAAUUGGAGGAUUAAGCUCCGAGGAAAGAUUGCAUGGUGUCAAAUACAUUAUUGAAUCAUUUGUAGGUUGUAUUAAAGAUAUGGUAUUGAGUUCAGGAAAGUCAGCCAGCGAUUUAUUACCAAUUCAGCCAUUGAUAGCAACUAAACAUGAAAAUGUGAAAGAAGGAUGCAUCAACAAAUGCUGGACAAGAGAAAAUUUAUGUUUUAUUGGCAGUCAAUGUGUUAACCAUUAUAACAGUUUAACAUGUGAUUGCUUUGGAACCAGAUACGAAGGAGAACGAUGUGAUGUUUACACUGCUACGAUUUUAACAUUAAGAGGUUCUUCAUAUGUAUCUUUUCGAGUUUAUGACUGGAAAGACAGAGUUCAUUCAUCAAUGAACCGAAUAAGCUUAAUGUUCAAGACUCGUUGGGAUGAUUCCGUACUAUUCUAUGCAUCUGGAGAAAUAGAUGGUACUCCUCAUUAUGUAGCUGCAUCAAUAAUCAAUAGAAAAAUCCAUAUAGAAAUAGAUUUUGGUCAUAACACAAAAAUGAAUACAACUCUUGGAGAAGAUGUGUCUUCAAAUCUUUGGAGUAAUUUAACAAUAUUUCAUAACGGUUCACAAAUCUUUGUGAGUCUUGAUUUUGAGCAUAAAGUACUCGAAAUACCUGGUAACAAUCAUUACAUGAUCAUUGAUCCGGAAAUUUAUAUUGGAGGAGGUCCAGAAUUGCACAAAAAGAAAGGGUUAAAGUCCUACAAUAAUUUCGCAGGAGUGUUGAAGUAUGUUUUCUUCAACGAUAAAUCCAUAAUAUACGAAUUGAAGAAAUCAAAUCCAAUGGUUCAUUACAUUGGAGUCCUUGAACCGGAAUAUUAUGAAGUUGAUGUUGAUGUGAUACCAAUCACAUAUCCUUUUUCCGGAAGUCAUAUUUGGUGGCCAAUAGCUAAAACUAAUUCUCUAUUACUUCAUUUCGAUUUUCAAAGCUCUAAACCUGUCGCUGUUGUUGCUUCUGGCGAUGUAAAAAGUGAUCAAGGUCUUGGAUACUGGGAGUUGAGGCUUGUUAAUGAUGAAAUGCGGUUCCAAUUAAUACCAGUUCUAACAGAUAACAUUACUGUAUCAGCAUCAGUUAAAUUCCCACCGAACAAUCGAACAUCCUGGCAUGCAGUUGAAUUAAAUUAUACCAAAGGAGAACUUAAUAUUAUUGUGGAUUAUAGACAUAAACAGGGAAAGCUUUUUGCGAUGACAUUUGAACUUGGUGACAAAGUUAUUAUUGGAAGUGGAAAAAGUGAUGCAGGUUUAGUUGGCUGCAUGAGAGAUAUAAAAGUUAACGAUGAAAUAAUAGAACCUAGAUACGUAAUAAAUACUGAACGAGUCGUGGGCGAGGUUGCUUUAGACAACUGUCAAUUCGUUGAUCCUUGUACAAGGCCGAAUACAUGUGAACAUGGUGGGAAAUGUUCCGUAAAGGAAAAUAAAAUUACUUGUGAUUGCACUGAUACUGGUUACAUUGGAAAAAAUUGUCAUUUUGCACAAUAUCGAAAGACUUGUGAAGAAUUAGCUCUUUUAGGAUAUACCCAAGAUGAUGUCUAUAAAAUUGAUAUUGAUGGAAAUGGUAAAUUUCCACCAGCUUUAGUGAAAUGUGAAUUUCAAUCAAUUGAAGAUGCAACAAAAACAAUUGUCGAGCACAAUUUACCAUCUCAAGUAGAUGUUCGGUCUAUCGCUGAAGAUGACUUCUCAUUUAAUAUUACUUAUCGUCAAUUCACUGCUGAAAUGCUGCAAGAACUAAUUUCUCAUUCAUUGUACUGCAGUCAAUAUGUCAAGUAUGAUUGCUAUAAAGCACCAUUGGAUCUUCACAGUGCUACUUGGUUUCUCGGUUCAAAGGAAACCAUCGUUGAUUAUAUUGGAAAUGUUAACCGAGGAUCUUGUCCUUGUGGAAUGAACAGAACCUGCGUCAAUCCAGACUUAAGUUGUAAUUGUGAUGUUUCUGCGGGAAAAUGGCUUUCAGAUGAAGGUUAUUAUGAAACUCCAGAAUCCUUAGGCAUCACUGGAAUGGUUUUUCUUCAGCAAAAGGAACUUGAAGAAGAUGCUCAAGGAAGGAUUACUCUUGGACCAUUAGAAUGCGUUGAAACAAAUACACAAAAGUAUGUCGUCACUUUCACAACAUCACAAUCUUACAUUGAAGUGCCAGGAUGGAGAAAAGGUGACAUUGCUUUUAGCUUUCGAACGACUGGAGAAAAAGCAAUUCUUUUAUAUCAACCACCUAUCAGAAGCAAUUAUCCAUCAUUCAUGGUAGUUUUAACGUCAGAUUAUCGACUUACUUUUAAUUUUACUCUUAAUACUGGCACAAAUAGAGAAAUGGAAGUAAAAAGUCGACGAAAAUUAAAUAAUGGGGAAUGGCAAAAAAUUUGGAUUGAUUACAAUGAUUAUCAUGUUCGGUUUAUGAUUAAUACUGAUUUCCAAAUGGUUGAAUUACUUCCUGAAGAAGAAUUUGGUCCUUUUGAGGGAUCUAUGUUUAUUGGAGGUGCAACUGCAGAAUAUUUGAAGACUUCAGAAGUACAACAAGGAUUAAUUGGCUGCUUCCGAGGCCUUGUAGUUAAUGGAGAGAUCUUAGAUAUUCACAGCUACAUGUCAGUUCAUUUGUCUGAAAUUAUAAAAGAUUGCAAGCCUUCCUGUCAGCCAAAUAAAUGUCAAAAUGGUGCGAGAUGUGUUGAAUUAUGGAGUAAUUUCGAGUGUGUUUGCGAAAAUAAAUGGGCUCAUCAAGGAACUUUUUGUGAAACAAACAUUAACAAUAAAGCGUUGACGUUUACAUCACCUGGGGCAUUCCUGAAGAAAAACUACUUCGGCACGAGUGAGGACGAAGAGAAAUUGUUGCUGAAAAGUAUGCUGCUGGAGAACAUUCUGAUAAAUCUGAGGACUUACGACACCCACUCGCUCAUCCUUUACGCCAACGAUCAUCUCAACAACUUUGCUCAUCUCUAUAUUUCCAAUGGGUCCAGCAUUGUCUAUCUCUUUAACGCCGGGAACGAGAUCAAGAAUAUCACCGUCCAGUAUCCAGGUGUAAAUACAGGGAUUUCGGUUCAGAUUGCGAUCGUCAGGGGUGAGACAUCAACUACCCUUCAUGUCAAUGAUCACAAUAUCACUUUGGAUGCAGUACCGUUACUGUUGGAUUCGUAUUCCAAUAAACCUUGGAUCAAUCCAGAAAAAGAAGUAUUGGCUCCUCAAAGGCCUCCUGCACCUCCAACUGAUUACUUUCAGGUAAACUUGGGUGGCUUUGAUCCUGAUAAUCUUCUCCGAGUUGGAGUGGAAGGACAACUUAUUCAAGGAUACGUUGGUUGUCUUCGAGGAUUAAUGAUUGGAGAAUACUUGGUUGACCUACCAAAUUUAGCUAGUGAAGCUAAUCACGAAGGAAGUAAAGGAGUUUUACCUAAUUGUCAAAUGAAAUGCGAUACUACACCAUGCAAAAAUCUUGGAAUUUGUACAGAAGACUUUGGAAGGCAAGAAUCUUCAUGUAAUUGUGAAUUAACUUCAUAUUUUGGAGAACAUUGUGCUGACGAAAAAGGUGCAGAUUUCAGCGGUGAAAGUGUGCUUCAACGAGCAUUUGAGUUUGAAGGAGAAGUGAAACAGGUCAAAGUUCAAUUAGCAUUUUCUACAAACGAUCUACGUCAAAGAACAUCAGCUUUAUUAUUAUUACAAGCUGCAAAUAAAAGUUAUUAUCUUUUGGUGGCAUUAACCUCUGAAGGUCAACUGAUUUUUGAAGAAGAUAGAGAUGGUUCAGCUUACGGAGUUCGAUUAAAUGAUAGAAAUUUUUUAAAUGGCGCCAGACAUAGUGUAUAUUACGUUCGAGAAAAUAAAACUGCUACUUUAUUGAUUGAUCGAGAACCAGUACAAUUAUUACCGAUUCCUGUCUUGAGUAUUGGUGAAGACGAUGAUAAUAAUCCAGAAGAAGAAGAAAGUCCUGGAGCGACAGAAAUUCAACUGGGAGGACUUAAUACAACGGAUCAUCGGUUCAGUGCUUAUAAAGGAUACACUGGCUGUCUCAGCAACAUUGUGGUAUCUAUUAAUGGUGGUGCUACAAUGAAACCUCUCGAAGAAUACAUGGUAUUUACAAAAAAAGGAAGUGAAACUGUAAGAGCAAGUAUUCCUGCUGGAGUAAGAAGUGCGCAAUGUGCAGCAUUUCAUUUACAACCUCGAGGAUUGGAUCCUCCUAGAAAUGAUAGUAUGGGCCGUGACAGAGCUUGGGUAGAAGAUCCUCCAGCAAGAGUUCCGUAUAAAUCACUUUAUAAUGAUGAAACGAAAGAAGAGCAAGGUGCAACAACGUAUAUAUUUAUAGCCUUAUGCUGUAUAUUUGUGUCAGCAGUAAUUGGAUGUGCUUAUGAAGUUAUACGAAGUGCAAGACGAGAUCGUAAACGUAGAAGAGCAAGAGCUGCUGCUGCAGUUUCAGGAAGUGGAUCGCCUGGAGGAUCACAAAGAUGGCAACCGGCUUAUUCAGAUUCAGUUGUCGGACCUUCUGGGGCUAAAACAGUAGGAUUUAAAACAGUUAUUGAAGAUGAAAAGAAACCUAAUGGAACGCAUGCAAAGGGAGUUACUAAAGAAUAUAAACCUCUUCCUAACUCGGAGUUAAAGAAAGAUUUAGUUAAUGAUAAAAAAGUUAAUAUCAAAGAAGAAGAAGCAGAAAAGAAGGAUCUUCUUGGGGUAAAUACAACUGUAUCGAAACCUGCGAAACCGAAUCCUUUUUCAAUGGAAGACUUAACAGAGGAGCCAGAGCUUGAAGAGCGCGAACAGGAAGAAGAUGAAGAAUUAGAAGAGGAGGAAGAAGAAGUUGCAGAAGAAAGAAAAAACAUGAUGAACAGUCCAGAAGCUGAAACACUUGUAAAACCAACUCCGAUUAAAACUUGGUCUAAAACGAGUAUAGAAGGGAAUGUGAUACCAUUAAACUCCAUUUCCAAUCAAGAUGAAACAAAUGCAACGUUUGAACUUUAGAGGUAGUUCGUAUUUUUGGAGUUAAACCAUCCUCAAAAUCACAAGCUCUGAGCCCAGAUGGACAGAAAUUUAAAAUGCUCAAUACGACUCCAAUAUUUCUGGGUGAAGACAUGCGUACUUUUGCAAAUCCUUUGAGUU